GACAGAGGUGGCAAGCGUUGUUCGGAAUCAUUGGGCUUAAAGCGCACGUAGGCGGCCUUUCAAGUGUUCUGUGAAAUCCCUCGGCUCAACCGAGGAAUUGCAGGGCAUACUGUCGGGCUUGAGGCAGGUAUGGGCGAGUGGAACUCUUGGUGGAGCGGUGGAAUGCGUAGAUAUCAAGAGGAACGCCGGUGGUGAAGACGAUUCGCUGGGCCUGUCCUGACGCUGAGGUGCGAAAGCCAGGGGAGCAAACGGG
Molecule: ribosomal RNA, 253 nt
Filed under: uncultured bacterium
Lineage: Bacteria
Description: partial 16S ribosomal RNA
Rfam family: Bacterial small subunit ribosomal RNA
Source: RNAcentral